Peromyscus maniculatus bairdii (prairie deer mouse) is the source of this 602-nucleotide non-coding RNA. NCBI's taxonomy places the organism in Eukaryota, Metazoa, Chordata, Mammalia, Rodentia, Cricetidae. The record is from RefSeq and is a predicted model, not a curated record.
AUGGAAGGUAGCCCUUCUUCCUUCUGUAUCCAUGGGACUCUGGUUCCAGGCCCCAUGGAUCCGUCCAUAGACAGGGAGUCUCUCACAUAAAAAGGAACUGUACAGAAUAUGGCCCAUGCACAUCCACCAGAGAUGAUCUUGAAGCCUGCCGCUCAGCUGUGGAGAGGAGAACUUGGGCAAAGUGUGGUGAACGGAAGAGAUGUGCCGUGCUCUGCCAAGUGGGGCUCCUCAGCUACACCCCAAAGCACCAGCCUCCUGCUUAUGUAGCAGCUAAAUUGAAUGGGAAGGAGCAGCCUUGGGCCAGUCAGGCUGAUGGUGCCCGCCGGAACCUUCCUGGUGCCAAGCCAAAUGAUUCCUGACCCAUCACAGGGUGGCCUUGCUGCCCACGUUCCGGAUGAGACCCCUGAUUCUCUGAGGCUGCUGUGGGACGCCGAGGGAGACCUGCUGCUCUCCUUGAUGGCCGAGGCUUCUGUGACAAUCUUUUCCUGCUGACCAGGGGAGAAGCGGAGGGAUAUGUCCAGAACUGGCCUUCCAAACAGCACUGUGGGGCCAAGGGAGGACCCUGAAGACCCGAGAUCCGGAUGUGCCGGCACUGUUGGUUC